CUGUUGUAUGAAAAGAAGAAAAUUAGCACUCCCCUUAACAGUGAUGCAAGUGGUCCUCUGGCCUAACAGCAAACAUACGGGGAGCUCUUACUUCAGGCAGCCUUCUCUGCUCUUGCU
Molecule: non-coding RNA, 117 nt
Filed under: Nannospalax galili (Upper Galilee mountains blind mole rat)
Lineage: Eukaryota; Metazoa; Chordata; Mammalia; Rodentia; Spalacidae
Source: RNAcentral